AUUCCAUGAUGUGGACACUUUGGAAUAUACUCCUAGAGAUGUUCCCAUACUUCAGGAAUAGUCUCAUCUGCCUAUUGUUGGAGGCUUGAUGUAACAUCCCGGCC
This 104-nucleotide small nucleolar RNA is filed under the name Sorghum bicolor (sorghum). RNAcentral's name for it is "Plant small nucleolar RNA R71". It matches the Rfam family "Plant small nucleolar RNA R71". From Rfam's summary of the family: R71 is a member of the C/D box family of snoRNAs containing the C (UGAUGA) and D (CUGA) box motifs. Multiple nearly identical copies of this snoRNA have been identified in Arabidopsis, and it is thought to function as a 2'-O-ribose methylation guide for 18S ribosomal RNA. The record is from Rfam by way of RNAcentral. Lineage: Eukaryota; Viridiplantae; Streptophyta; Magnoliopsida; Poales; Poaceae.